Molecule: long non-coding RNA, 671 nt
Filed under: Coffea arabica (coffee)
Lineage: Eukaryota; Viridiplantae; Streptophyta; Magnoliopsida; Gentianales; Rubiaceae
Description: long non-coding RNA (CARA_LNC004802)
Source: RNAcentral
UUUCUUCUUUCACCUACCACCACCACCACCAUUAUCACUAUCUCUCCUUUUUUUUCUCCUCCAUCUACACCACCAUCCAUUUCCUCCCUCCUUGUAAUUUAAAAGAUACCUUAUUAAAAUUUUAAAUUCUAAAAAUGCCUCAUAAUACAUUCCAAAAAAUACCCUUAGAUACACUCUCACAAAUAUCUAACCAUCUAAAAUUUUUGAAAACACCCUCUAAAACAACUCCAAAAAUACCAAUUCAUACAAAAAAAAAAAAAAUCUACCACAUUUUCUUCUUCCACCACACACUGCCACCUAGCACAUAACACUACCGACCGCUGUCAUCGCCAUUAUCGAUUCCUUUCUCUCUCCUUAUUCUCCUCUCUAUCCUCUUUCUUCUUCUCCUUCCUCCUCCCCCCUCCCCCCUCCCUUCCCUUUCAUUCCUUUUCCCCGUAUCAGCAGCCUCCCUCUUCUCUCUCCAUUUUCGAUGGUGACUAGAGGGCCUAGUCGCCGUCGAUCACAACUAGAUUUGAAUUCGAUUAUGACUAGUCAUGGAAAGAGAUGGGGAAAAAGGAAAGAAGGGGAGGAGGAGGAGAACAAAGCAGAUUAAGGGAGAAAAAGAGGGAAAUAGAGGAAUGAGGAAGGAGGAGGAGGGACGAGACGGUAGUGGUGGGUGGCAAUGGGUGAUG